UACGGAGGGUGCAAGCGUUGUCCGGAUUUAUUGGGUUUAAAGGGUGCGUAGGCGGCAGAUUAAGUCAGCGGUGAAAUUCCACAGCUCAACUGUGGAACUGCCAUUGAUACUGGUUUGCUUGAGUACAGAUGAGGUAGGCGGAAUUGACAGUGUAGCGGUGAAAUGCUUAGAUAUUGUCAAGAACACCUAUUGCGAAGGCAGCUUACUAAGCUGUAACUGACGCUGAGGCACGAAAGCGUGGGGAUCAAACAGG
Molecule: ribosomal RNA, 253 nt
Filed under: uncultured bacterium
Lineage: Bacteria
Description: partial 16S ribosomal RNA
Rfam family: Bacterial small subunit ribosomal RNA
Source: RNAcentral